CGGGCAAUGCGAGAGCUGGGGGUGCUCCAGAAGCCUGGACAUGUUGGCAGCAUGGACAGGGGGGACCCAUGGAUACCCCAGGACCCUGAAAGAGGGACCCCGGACAGUGCUGACCCCUGGGAUACCUGUGAUGCCAAAGUGGUGAGGCCAGAGAAGGAGGACCUGCGGGAUUGCCAGGAGCCCCAGCAGCCCAGAGAGGGGAACAGCAAUACAAACCUGACCCGCAGCAACCCAGACAGGGGCGCCUCCAGGAGCCCAAAGUGGAGACACCAGAGAGGAGAAACCCAGGGUUGAGUGUUUUGGUUGAAUCUUAGUAAUUUGUGUAUUUUUGGGCACUGAAUUUUAGUGUUUUGGAAGUUUACAAAGGCACCAGAUUCCCGGUGACUUCUAGAGUGUGGAGGCGCAGGGGCCCAACAUUGGAACUGUAAUACCUCAGGGCAAAGGUGACCAGGGUCAGAGAGAGACACCCCUCUGAGGACAAUGCUCUCACCAUCAGCAUUUGCAGGCUCAUGGGAAUGCAGCAGGCUUCAUUGGUAUCACCCACUCCAGCUGCCCUUUUUCCUUAUAUGGAUUCCCCCUAGAAUGUUCUCCCCUCUCUUGUCCCCCAUUGGUCCUGGUUUGCUGCAAUGCUCCUCCCCUGUUACCUCAUUGGUUCCCCAGUUGGCUGCCCCUCCUCUGCACCACCUGUGCUCAGUUCCCAUUGGCCCUUGGCCCUCAGACCCGCCCCUUUCCCCCCUUACCAAACCCUGUGUCCUCAGCACCAUUUUGUCUCUGUGCCUGGACCCUCUGCAUUGCAAUAAACUGCGUUUGGAGCUGUGCACACAGACCCGUCUCUGGCCUUGUCCAUCAGCAGGUUAAGCAAGCGUGCUCCGGGCUCUGGGAGUGCAGCUUGCUCACAGGGGCUCGUUGUGGAUGUGCCACAACACCAGAGAUGGACUUGGGCAGGAGGAACACCGUAAUCCAAUGUAGUCAUACACUGUAUUUUCCCCCAAACCAGGAUUUCUCAUUCCCAAACUUUGGCUGGAUGGAGGAGGAGGCUGUAAGGAAGAGGAAGAUGCCCCGGGACACCCAGGCAGACAAGGAGGUGAGGAUGGAGACCAGGGAGGACAAAUCCCCACAGAAGAACCUCGAGGAAGAGGCAGAUUGGAGCGGCUCCACGGGGCAGGAAUCCAACAGGGAGGAAAAGCUCCAGAGAUGGCACAGGAAGAGGGGACCAAACCCAGCCCAGGGUGCUCUGAGGUGAAAGGCUGCACCCUGAGCCAGGGAUUGGAGCUGGUGACCCAUGAGCAGCUUCAUGACGGGGAGAAGCCCUACAAGUGUUUGGAGUGUGGGAAGAGCUUCAGGCGGAGCAACACCCUGGUGAGCCACCAGAUGAUCCACACUGGGGAAUGGGCCUGUGAGUGUGGGGAAUGUGGGAAGGGCUUCAGCUGCUGCUCCCACCUCAUCAUCCACCAACGCAUCCACACUGGGGAGAGGCCCUAUGAGUGUCCUGUGUGCCAGAAGAGGUUCCAAACCAGCUCCAAUCUCCUCCUGCAUGAGAGAAUUCACACACAGGAGAGGCCCUUCCGUUGCCCCGACUGCGGGAAGGGCUUCAAGCGCAACUCCCACCUCAUCACCCACCAGCGAAUCCACACUGGGGAGAGGCCCUACGAGUGUUCCCAGUGUGGGAAGAGCUUCACCCAGAGCUGUAACUUGAACAGACACCACCAGAGGCACAGUUAAGGGAAGCCCUAUAAAUGCCCCAACUGCAGAAGGAGCUUCAUGCACUGCCCUAACUUCGUCCCCCCACUGGAGAGCCCACAUUGGGAAGAGCCCUGGUGAUCCAUGGUCUCUGUGAUCCAUGCUGGGAAGACACUUGUAGCUUUUCCUGGUUCUGUCAAUGAUAUGAUGUGAGAUUGAAGAACAUGACGGUGUGGCCAUGGCCAUGAUGUUACAUUCAGUCCCACCUUAGGUUAUUGCCAGGGGCAGGCAAGGGACUCUCUCUCUCGCAAAGAGGAGGGUGUCCUUUCCAGGCAGGAGGAAAUAUGUGGCCAGGAAGAGACGGUUGUUGAUGUUGUAGUUUUCCCUGUAAAUAGUUUUUGUUUUCCCUUCUGUUACCAGUAUUGUUUCUCUUCCUGUUUGUUGUUUAUCUCGUUGCUGUUCCCAUUAAAUUGUUCUUAUCCCA
RNA transcript from Passer domesticus (house sparrow), 2164 nucleotides. It is a transcript of the gene named zinc finger protein 3-like, with no coding region annotated. NCBI's taxonomy places the organism in Eukaryota, Metazoa, Chordata, Aves, Passeriformes, Passeridae. The record is from RefSeq and is a predicted model, not a curated record. The transcript has 2 exons.